This 256-nucleotide ribosomal RNA is filed under the name uncultured bacterium. RNAcentral describes it as "partial 16S ribosomal RNA". It matches the Rfam family "Bacterial small subunit ribosomal RNA", at positions 524 to 777 of the family's 1533-position model. The record is from RNAcentral.
UACGAAGGGUGCAAGCGUUAAUCGGAAUUACUGGGCGUAAAGGGUGCGUAGGCGGUUGUUUAAGUCUGUCGUGAAAUCCCCGGGCUCAACCUGGGAAUGGCGAUGGAUACUGGACAGCUAGAGUGUGUCAGAGGAUGGUGGAAUUCCCGGUGUAGCGGUGAAAUGCGUAGAGAUCGGGAGGAACAUCAGUGGGCGAAGGCGGCCAUCUGGGGACAACACUGACGCUGAAGCACGAAAGCGUGGGGAGCAAACAGGG